Molecule: long non-coding RNA, 327 nt
Organism: Aquila chrysaetos chrysaetos
Lineage: Eukaryota; Metazoa; Chordata; Aves; Accipitriformes; Accipitridae
Exons: 3
Source: RefSeq, a predicted model, not a curated record
GCCUGACAUGCAUAGGGCUGGAGCAGAGAAAAAUUGAUUAAUUCAGCCAGCACAGUGAGAGAGAAGCCUGACUGACACCACCAUUAAUUAGGAAAAAUUUUGAGAGUUUCAAGUCUUCCCUUCCUCACCUUCAGGCUAUUGUGGAUUCUGAAAGAACAGGUUUAAUCUCCUAAAAACUCAGUGACUAUUAAAUCUGUACUUGGGCCAAACAGGUUGUCUGGUGGCACAACAGAGCCCUCCUAAAGUCACAGCACACCACAGUGAGUCUGGAGAGACCAAGUGAAGAAAAGGGGGUAGCUGGUUUUAAGUAUCUCUGAUGACAUACUC